RNAcentral lists this transfer RNA (77 nucleotides) under Mus musculus (house mouse). RNAcentral describes it as "tRNA-Arg". The stretch from base 8 to 69 matches the Rfam family "tRNA", at positions 8 to 63 of the family's 71-position model. From Rfam's summary of the family: Transfer RNA (tRNA) molecules are approximately 80 nucleotides in length. Their secondary structure includes four short double-helical elements and three loops (D, anti-codon, and T loops). Further hydrogen bonds mediate the characteristic L-shaped molecular structure. tRNAs have two regions of fundamental functional importance: the anti-codon, which is responsible for specific mRNA codon recognition, and the 3' end, to which the tRNAs corresponding amino acid is attached (by aminoacyl-tRNA synthetases). tRNAs cope with the degeneracy of the genetic code in two manners: having more than one tRNA (with a specific anti-codon) for a particular amino acid; and 'wobble' base-pairing, i.e. permitting non-standard base-pairing at the 3rd anti-codon position. The record is from RNAcentral. Lineage: Eukaryota; Metazoa; Chordata; Mammalia; Rodentia; Muridae.
GGAGAGAUAGCUCAGUGGUUUAGAGCACUGGUUGCCUGCUCCUCCAGAGGUCCUGAGUUCAAUUCCCAGCAUUCACA